This 497-nucleotide long non-coding RNA is filed under the name Pan troglodytes (chimpanzee). Its description in RNAcentral is "long non-coding RNA NONPTRT010601". Lineage: Eukaryota; Metazoa; Chordata; Mammalia; Primates; Hominidae. The record is from RNAcentral.
CCCAGGGAGCGCAAGAGAGGCACAGUGCCGCCAGCUGCUUGCUACGGUGCCCUCUCUGCUCCUAAGGGGCUAGUGGAUACCCCGUGUGUGGGCAGGCUAGCUUCACUUCUUAGUUCAGAAAACUGUCUGCAGAACCAGGUGCCCAAGGCCUACCUGACAGCCGGCAGUGGUCAGUUCCACUGCCUCCCCACCCACCCGUGAAGCCCGAGUUUCUGCCACUCACCCUAAUUCACAAGCUACCGCGCUUACCAACAUUCAUGAAGGACUAUGCCGUGUGGACGCUGAAGCCAGCUGGGACUCUCCUCCCUUUGGAACUUGGCCUUGCUUCGUCUCCCCGCCCUCUCCAAGAGCCCUGUUAAAAUGUACAAGAGAUGUAGUUCUUGUUAACGUUGCCCAGGCUGGAGCGCAGUGGCUACUCAGAGGCAUGAUCAUACCGCACUAUAGCCUGGAACUCCUGGGCUCAAGCAAUCCUCCUGCUUCCGCCUCACAGGUGUGCA